AUUGAACGCUGGCGGCAGGCCUAACACAUGCAAGUCGAGCGAGCGGCGGAGGGGUGAGUAAUGUGUGGGAAACUGCCUGAGGGAGGGGGAUAAAUACUGGAAACGGUAGCUAAUACCGCAUACGAUCAGAUGUGCCCAGAUGGGAUUAGAUGGUAGGUGGGGUAACGGCUCACCUAGGCGACGAUACCUAGCUGGUCUGAGAGGAUGACCAGCCACCCUGGAACUGAGACACGUGCCAGACUCCUACGGGAGGCAGCAGUGGGGAAUAUUGCACAAUGGGCGCAAGCCUGAUGCAGCCAUGCCGCGUGUGUGAAGAAGGCCUUCGGGUUGUAAAGCACUUUCGGCGGGGAGGCGUUACCCGCAGAAGAAGCACCGGCUAACUCCGUGCCAGCAGCCGCGGUAAUUC
Molecule: ribosomal RNA, 406 nt
Filed under: uncultured bacterium
Lineage: Bacteria
Description: partial 16S ribosomal RNA
Rfam family: Bacterial small subunit ribosomal RNA
Source: RNAcentral